UAUAGCCGUUGAAACAUCGAUUCCCGUACGAUCAUAGAAAUUAAGCAACGUCAAGCCUGGUCAGUACUUAGAUGGGUGACCGCUUGGGAAUACCACGUCUUGUA
Acanthosepion pharaonis is the source of this 104-nucleotide non-coding RNA. NCBI's taxonomy places the organism in Eukaryota, Metazoa, Mollusca, Cephalopoda, Sepiida, Sepiidae. The record is from the annotation of a GenBank genome assembly.